UUACUGCUUUGUGAUUCAUGACUGGGGUGAAGUCGUAACAAGGUAACCGUAGGGGAACCUGCGGUUGGAUCACCUCCUUACCUUAAAGAA
Molecule: ribosomal RNA, 90 nt
Filed under: Enterobacter hormaechei
Lineage: Bacteria; Pseudomonadati; Pseudomonadota; Gammaproteobacteria; Enterobacterales; Enterobacteriaceae
Description: partial 16S ribosomal RNA
Rfam family: Bacterial small subunit ribosomal RNA (bases 1-80)
Source: RNAcentral